UUUCUUCUUGUUGGGUUAGUGAUAUCAAAUUCACUUAUUAGCCUAAUUGGUUUUAUUUUGGGUUUGGUUCAACAACUCAUGUAAUGGGCUAGUUAGUAUUUGGUUUGGGCUUUAGUUGACCCAUUUGGUAUGUUGGGUCAAGUGGAGUUAAGAGAGAACUCUUUGGGUUAGAGAGAGUGUGUUCUCAUUUUUGCUCUCUAGGUUUUCCCUUUUCUUGUAAUAGAGAAGAGAGGUGUAGAGAGGGUUGGAGAAGGAGCUCUCUUGUUCUUCUUGCUUAAUUCAAAGACUUCCAAGGUAGAUUGGAGGAAUUCUAAGAGGUAUUCCGAAGCGGGAUUCGUGGAAUCGGAAGGUGCUUCAAAGAAGGUGUAGCAAGAAGGAAUUUCCAUUGGAAGGUUGUAAGCCCAUUGUGAUAGAGUAGUAAUCUCUAAUCAAAUCUUGUAAUCUCCUCAUUUGAUAGUGGAUUUGAUCUCUCCGUGUCCGUGGAUGUAGCCCGGUUUGGGUGAACCACGUAAAUCUUAUGUUGUUGUUGUGCUUGUGCUUCGAUUUUUCUCUUUCAACUUCAUUUACUCAAAUCUUGCAUAUCUUGGUUGUGGAUAAUUUAGAUACAUCACAUUUGCUUAUUAGUGUGAUUAGUAUCUUGAUAGUGAGGGUUCCGUCAUUAGCUCACUACACUUCUGGCAAUAAAACCAUCCCCAAUCCUACAAUCAACUUAUUUUAA
Molecule: long non-coding RNA, 718 nt
Filed under: Ananas comosus (pineapple)
Lineage: Eukaryota; Viridiplantae; Streptophyta; Magnoliopsida; Poales; Bromeliaceae
Description: long non-coding RNA (ACOM_LNC015181)
Source: RNAcentral